CAUGACCCACACUCUUAUAUUUGUAUAAAAGUUUAUGCGCAAAAUUUAACGGAAAGAAAGACCAUACUAGUUUGGUGUCUCUUCUACUCUUCCUCUCUCCAGAUCAAUCCAAGCUCCUCUCUCUCACAUCUCUCUUUAGUUCACGGUGGUGGCUAUAUUCUGGUGUGGGCGUAUGUUCGGCGUGGAUCAGGUGACAACGUGGGUCAUGGGUAUGGCGGCGUGAGCUAGGUCGUGGGUUUGGCGGCGUGGACGUGGGUCGUGGCAAGGUCGUGCAUGGCGAGAUGGAUUGUGGCGAGGUGUGCAGUGGUGGAGAUGGGCGUAGUCAUGGACUCACAGCAUGGCGAGAUUGGGUGGGUCGUGGCAGAGGGACUUAAAAGUUCGUGGUGCUUGCUGAGGUUAUGAAUUUCUUCGGAUCACAGCUGACAGUUAUGUUGAUCACUACAAAUCCUUUGAGUUUCCCUGGAGUCGCUGGAAGUUGAUUUCUCUCAUCGUUAAAGUAUCAUUGCUUUGGAAACUGUAAGUUUCGGAAUUCUUAUUUUAGUAUCAAUCAUUAUAUUUCUUCAGGAAGAAAUUCUCUCUCACUGUUGUUGGGGAUUGCAGCUAGGCAUGUUGCAUGAACAGAUGGAUUAUCAUGUUCUUUUUAUUCCCAUUCAUACUGACAUAUCGAGAAAGAAACAAUGGGGAACUGAAAUCAUUUUGUAGCAGAUUAGAGCCUUUUGUAAUUGCAAUUUUGUUUUGAUCGAACU
Molecule: long non-coding RNA, 746 nt
Organism: Quercus robur (English oak)
Lineage: Eukaryota; Viridiplantae; Streptophyta; Magnoliopsida; Fagales; Fagaceae
Exons: 2
Source: RefSeq, a predicted model, not a curated record